GUGCCAGCAGCGGCGGUAAUACGAAGGGUGCAAGCGUUACUCGGAAUUACUGGGCGUAAAGCGUGCGUAGGUGGUUCGUUAAGUCUGAUGUGAAAGCCCUGGGCUCAACCUGGGAAUUGCAUUGGAUACUGGCGGGCUAGAGUGCGGUAGAGGGUAGUGGAAUUCCCGGUGUAGCAGUGAAAUGCGUAGAGAUCGGGAGGAACAUCCGUGGCGAAGGCGACUGCCUGGACCAGCACUGACACUGAGGCACGAAAGCGUGGGAGCAAACAGGAUUAGAUACCCUGGUAGUCCACGCCCUAAACGAUGCGAACUGGAUGGUUGGCUCAACUUGGAGCUCAGU
Molecule: ribosomal RNA, 340 nt
Filed under: uncultured Thermomonas sp.
Lineage: Bacteria; Pseudomonadati; Pseudomonadota; Gammaproteobacteria; Lysobacterales; Lysobacteraceae
Description: bacterial SSU rRNA
Rfam family: Bacterial small subunit ribosomal RNA
Source: RNAcentral